CCGUAAACGCUUUAAAGUGCCCCGCCUCGGGGGAGUUACGGCCGCAGGGGCUAAAACUCAAAGGAAUUGACGGGGGCCCGCACAAGCGGCGGAGCACUGCGGAUUAAUUUCGAUUCGCAAACGCGAAGAACCGUUACCAAGGCUUGACAUGCGACCCCGGCGCGCGGAGACGCGCGCGCAUUUGGUUCGGGGGUGUGCCAAGGUCGGUGCCAUGGUUGUACGUCUAGCCUCGGUGUCGUGACGAUGUUCGGGUUAAGUCCCGCAACGAGCGCAACCCUUGCCCUAUGUUUGCCAGCGCGUUCGUGGCGGGGACUCGUGGGGGACCUGCCGGGGUUAACUCGGAGGAAGGUGGGGAUGACCGUCAAAUCAGUCAUGCCCCCUUAGUGUCUUCGGGCUUUCACCGCAGUGCUACCAAUGGCCGGUACAGAGGGUUGCGAUGCCGUGAGGACGGGGCGAAAUCCCUUUAAAGCCGGUCUCAGUUCGGAUUGGGGUCUGCCAACUCGACCCCAUGAAGGUGGAGUCGCUAGUAAUCGCAGAUCAGCAACGCUGCGGUGAAUACCGUUCUCGGGUCGACGCGGCCG
RNAcentral lists this ribosomal RNA (581 nucleotides) under uncultured Actinomyces sp. Its description in RNAcentral is "bacterial SSU rRNA". It matches the Rfam family "Bacterial small subunit ribosomal RNA", at positions 848 to 1395 of the family's 1533-position model. Lineage: Bacteria; Bacillati; Actinomycetota; Actinomycetes; Actinomycetales; Actinomycetaceae. The record is from RNAcentral.